RNAcentral lists this unclassified non-coding RNA (1052 nucleotides) under Hevea brasiliensis (rubber tree). The record is from RNAcentral. Lineage: Eukaryota; Viridiplantae; Streptophyta; Magnoliopsida; Malpighiales; Euphorbiaceae.
CUAACUUUAGACUCUGGAUGAUGUCAGAAUCUCAGUCAACAAGAUUUCUGCCAACAUUAGCAUAAAAAAAGAAUCUACAAACCUUGUUUCCUUAGCAUGCACGGCCACCACCAAUUGAACAGAAAAUCAGCUAAUCUAAUUAAGCUGUUAUUUACAAUAUAGAAAUUUCAAGAUUUACCAAAAACCGAAAAAUAAAAUGAACUUUCAUUGGUUUCUUAUUACCACAUGAUAGUAAUGAAUUCGAACUCUAUUAAAAAAUCUAUCAGGAAAAGCAAAACUUUUUUUGAGGGCUUAUAAUCAAGAGCAACAGUGUUCGUCUUAGGCCCAUUAAAGGGAUAAUGAUACGAUAAUCAAGUUUCUUCAAUAGUAAAUAACAAUAAUAGCAAAUACCACGACAGAGUUCAAUUUACAACGAGGGGUGUAAAAGUAAAAAAGCCCAAGCAACACUAAUACUACAUUUCGAUCAUCAGGAUCAGGGGGACGGUGGUGGCUCAUAGUUGGGUGGCUAGUCUUCGUAGACUCGACACUCAUCGGUCUCUGGAUUGUCCUGACAGAAAUACUCGAGAGGAUCCUGUUUCUCCAACUUAAGCCUGAAAUCGGCCUUGGCUUGGCUCACCUCUUCCACCUCAUCCCAUGCCACCUUGCACUCGUCGGAGGUCUGGUCUCCCUCGCACACCUCCUUCGCUUCCAUUACCUUCUUCUCUAUCAUCUCCGUAAGCUGCUUCUCCCUCAUCUGCGUCCCCUUGAACUUUGGUGCUCCUCCCAUCGCUCGCACCCUCAGAUUCAUAUUAGCUGCCUUACUUUCACUCCUCUUUAAGGCAAGUGAAUCGAGGAAAACUUUACAAUAAGCGUCAGAUGGCGUCGAGAAAGAUGAAGGAAGGAUCGACGUUUCUCGUCUUGGAGUGCUUAAAGCUGUGACGAAAGGGUAGGAUGCCAUCUUCUUCGAUUAACAGAUCCUCUUGUGCUCGCUUUCUUUUGCCUUUCUUGUUACAAGUGGGAGGACAUGAAGGUAAUUUUGAUGUUUGAUAGAUUGUUUUGGCUGUUUAGGACUU